GUGGGGAAUAUUGGACAAUGGGGGGAACCCUGAUCCAGCCAUGCCGCGUGUGUGAAGAAGGCCUUUUGGUUGUAAAGCACUUUAAGCGAGGAGGAGGCUACCGAGAUUAAUACUCUUGGAUAGUGGACGUUACUCGCAGAAUAAGCACCGGCUAACUCUGUGCCAGCAGCCGCGGUAAUACAGAGGUUGCAAGCGUUAAUCGGAUUUACUGGGCGUAAAGCGCGCGUAGGUGGCCAAUUAAGUCAAAUGUGAAAUCCCCGAGCUUAACUUGGGAAUUGCAUUCGAUACUGGUUGGCUAGAGUAUGGGAGAGGAUGGUAGAAUUCCAGGUGUAGCGGUGAAAUGCGUAGAGAUCUGGAGGAAUACCGAUGGCGAAGGCAGCCAUCUGGCCUAAUACUGACACUGAGGUGCGAAAGCAUGGGGAGCAAACAGGAUUAGAUACCCGAGUAGUCC
RNAcentral lists this ribosomal RNA (451 nucleotides) under uncultured bacterium. Its description in RNAcentral is "partial 16S ribosomal RNA". It matches the Rfam family "Bacterial small subunit ribosomal RNA", at positions 354 to 796 of the family's 1533-position model. The record is from RNAcentral.